AUUGAACGCUGGCGUCAGGCUUAACACAUGCAAGUCGAACGGUAACAUAAAGAAGCUUGCUUCUUUGAUGACGAGUGGCGGACGGGUGAGUAAUGCUUGGGAAUCUAGCUUAUGGAGGGGGAUAACUACGGGAAACUGUAGCUAAUACCGCGUAAUAUCGAAAGAUUAAAGUGUGGGACCUUCGGGCCACAUGCCAUAGGAUGAGCCCAAGUGGGAUUAGGUAGUUGGUGAGGUAAAGGCUCACCAAGCCGACGAUCUCUAGCUGGUCUGAGAGGAUGACCAGCCACACUGGGACUGAGACACGGCCCAGACUCCUACGGGAGGCAGCAGUGGGGAAUAUUGCGCAAUGGGGGCAACCCUGACGCAGCCAUGCCGCGUGAAUGAAGAAGGCCUUCGGGUUGUAAAGUUCUUUCGGUAGCGAGGAGAGCAUUUAGUUUAAUAGACUAGGUGAUUGACGUUAACUACAGAA
RNAcentral lists this ribosomal RNA (469 nucleotides) under Streptococcus sp. oral taxon C14. Its description in RNAcentral is "bacterial SSU rRNA". It matches the Rfam family "Bacterial small subunit ribosomal RNA", at positions 30 to 486 of the family's 1533-position model. The record is from RNAcentral. Lineage: Bacteria; Bacillati; Bacillota; Bacilli; Lactobacillales; Streptococcaceae.